Molecule: transfer RNA, 60 nt
Filed under: Chaetogammarus marinus
Lineage: Eukaryota; Metazoa; Arthropoda; Malacostraca; Amphipoda; Gammaridae
Description: tRNA-Ala
Source: RNAcentral
AGGGUUGUAGUUUAUAUAGAACGUCUAAUUUGCAUUUAGCUAGUACUCGGGUCACCCCUU